GUGAGGAAUAUUGGUCAAUGGUCGCAAGACUGAACCAGCCAUGCCGCGUGCAGGAAGACGGUCCUAUGGAUUGUAAACUGCUUUUAUACAGGAAGAAACCCUCCCACGUGUGGGAGCUUGACGGUACUGUAGGAAUAAGGAUCGGCUAACUCCGUGCCAGCAGCCGCGGUAAUACGGAGGAUCCAAGCGUUAUCCGGAAUCAUUGGGUUUAAAGGGUCUGUAGGCGGUCUUAUAAGUCAGUGGUGAAAGCCCAUCGCUCAACGAUGGAACUGCCAUUGAUACUGUAAGACUUGAAUGCUUAGGAAGUAACUAGAAUAUGUAGUGUAGCGGUGAAAUGCUUAGAUAUUACAUGGAAUACCAAUUGCGAAGGCAGGUUACUACUAAGUGAUUGACGCUGAUGGACGAAAGCGUGGGGAGCGAACAGGAUUAGAUACCCUAGUAGUCC
RNAcentral lists this ribosomal RNA (445 nucleotides) under uncultured bacterium. RNAcentral's name for it is "partial 16S ribosomal RNA". It matches the Rfam family "Bacterial small subunit ribosomal RNA", at positions 354 to 796 of the family's 1533-position model. The record is from RNAcentral.